GAUGAAGAACGUAGCGAAAUGCGAUAAGUAAUGUGAAUUGCAGAAUUCAGUGAAUCAUCGGAUCUUUGAACGCACAUUGCGCCCAUUAGCAUUCUAGUGGGCAUGCCUGUUCGAGCGUCAUUUCAACCCUUAAGCCCUGUUGCUUAGCGUUGGGAGCCUACAGUACUGUAGCUCCCCAAAGUUAGUGGCGGAGUCGGUUUCACACUCUAGACGUAGUAAUUUUUUCUCGUCUGUAGUUGAGCCGGUCCCCUGCCGUAAAACACCCAAUUUAUCAAGGUUAACCUCGGAUCAGGUAGGAAUACCCGCUGAACUUAAGCAUAUCAAUAAGCGGAGGA
Molecule: unclassified non-coding RNA, 335 nt
Filed under: soil metagenome
Description: partial contains 5.8S ribosomal RNA, internal transcribed spacer 2, and large subunit ribosomal RNA
Rfam family: 5.8S ribosomal RNA (bases 1-120)
Source: RNAcentral